This 84-nucleotide transfer RNA is filed under the name Colletotrichum falcatum. Its description in RNAcentral is "tRNA-Arg". It matches the Rfam family "tRNA". Rfam says of the family: Transfer RNA (tRNA) molecules are approximately 80 nucleotides in length. The record is from RNAcentral. Lineage: Eukaryota; Fungi; Ascomycota; Sordariomycetes; Glomerellales; Glomerellaceae.
GGCCGGUUGGCCCAAUGGCAAGGCGUCUGACUACGAUCAAGACAUGGUAUCAGGAGAUUCUGGGUUCGACCCCCAGGCUGGUCA